RNAcentral lists this ribosomal RNA (253 nucleotides) under uncultured bacterium. Its description in RNAcentral is "partial 16S ribosomal RNA". It matches the Rfam family "Bacterial small subunit ribosomal RNA", at positions 524 to 776 of the family's 1533-position model. The record is from RNAcentral.
UACAGAGGUCUCAAGCGUUGUUCGGAUUCAUUGGGCGUAAAGGGUGCGUAGGCGGCGCGGUAAGUCGGGUGUGAAAUCUCGGGGCUUAACUCCGAAACUGCAUUCGAUACUGCCGUGCUUGAGGACUGGAGAGGAGACUGGAAUUUACGGUGUAGCGGUGAAAUGCGCAGAUAUCGGGAGGAACACCAAUGGCGAAGGCAGCUCGCUGGGACGUUACUGACGCUGAGACGCGAAAGCGUGGGGAGCAAACAGG